This is a long non-coding RNA of Panicum virgatum (switchgrass), 3873 nucleotides long. RefSeq lists it as uncharacterized. Lineage: Eukaryota; Viridiplantae; Streptophyta; Magnoliopsida; Poales; Poaceae. The transcript has 3 exons. The record is from RefSeq and is a predicted model, not a curated record.
CUCCACGCGACCCCCGACGCCACCGCCGCCGCGACCACACCACAGCUUGUGCUCUCCUCCCCCUCUCCCUCAUGGUCAAGGACGCACGCCGGCCGCCGCCGCCGCCUCCCCGUCGCGAGGGCCGACGCCGCCCGGCGCCGCCACCACCGCUCCGCGUCGUCCCCGGCCGUCGUCCACCGUAGCGCUGCUCCACGCCGUCCCGGGCGCCCCCCAUCUCCAUGACCCUGCUGUGCCCAGCGCCGCGCCGUCCCCGGCGCCGCAGAUCCGCACCACCCUGUCGCGGUGAUGCCGCCCCCCCCCCCCCCCCCGCACGUGCCCCAGAUCCACGACCGCCCUCGCGAGAUCAAUCGUCGAUGAGGAAGAGUGAGGAGAUUCUUCCUCGUCCAGCAGCACCAUGAAGUGGAGUUUGGAUGGGGGCUAAACAAGCAGAAACGAGGGGAAGGGAGAGAGCAUGAGAUCGUGAUCUCAUCUAGAUAUUGGAACAAAUUGGUUUGUGCUUCUUCCCUGCAUUUUUUUAAAGGUUCUCAGCAUUGUAGUUGUGUGAGGGCUCAAUUGCCAAAGGUGGCACCAAAUUGAAUUGAUUGUGUCAAAUGGGAUGAAGAUAACUUGAAUGACAUUGAGUCAAACAAACCAGAAAGAGAGAAGAUCAAACUUAUCAAUGAAGAUGCUGAUUCUUUUGCAAGGAGACUAGAGAUGUACUACAAGAAACGUCCAGAAAUAAUGCAAUUGGGCCAAGAAAUAGAGCCACAUAAUCCAGAUAUCUCUACAUUUUUUUCUUGAAUCUCAAAUAUUUCAUUUUAUUCUUGUUUAUGGAAAUAUAAAUUGUUUUUUGGUUGUUUUGAUAUGCAUGGAUAAAAUGAUAACUGCCUGGGCGUCAUCGAGCUGAUCAUGACAAGGCAGAAGCUCAACUUCACCUCUGAGCUCAACACCAUCUGCAGUGCUCUCCAGGCAGUUAACCUGAGAAGCACAGAAGUUUCAAGCAUUCCACGCAUACAGGUGAGCAUCAAAAUAACUAUGUACUCAUUGCUUCCCAGCUGAGUUUUGGCAAAUAUCGCAUUUUUAAAAAUAGAUUCAGAAUCUCAGGACCUGUAUAUUCCAAAUGUUUGAUAUUGCAAUUUAACACUUACUGUUGGUAUGAUGUGGAACCCUACCUAAAAUUGCUUUUUUAAACUUUGGAACUUUCAGUGUACCAUAGCUCAAAUAUAAAAGUAAGUGUAGAUAAAGACAUUGAGACAUAAAACAAUGAUAUACUUAUAUCUUCUCAUGACUGCAUGGCCACUGUUGUUGAUUAUCCACCAGUUCAGCACUGCUUCCUACAAAGAUGCUUUUACCAGAGAUACUGGAAGUCCUGAGAGCAGCUUGCCUCACCCACAAGCUGCCAUUAGCUCAGACCUGGGUCACAUGUGCUCAGGAAGGAAAACGGGGCAGCCGACAUUCCAAUGAGAACUACCGAUACUGCAUCUCCACCAUUGACGAAGCAUGCUUUGUGAAUGAACCAAAGAUGCAAGACUUCCAUGAUGCGUGCUCUGAGCACCACCUACUGCGGGGGCAGGGUGUUGCAGGGAAAGCCUUCACCACAAACCAGCCAUGCUUCCUGCCAGAUAUAAGCAGCUGCUGGUGUGUUGUCAUGGGCCGAUUCCAACAAAGCCUGAUCUCAAAAAAAAAAAAGUCCAACAAAGGCCCAGCCUGCACCCCUGGUAUAAGCAGCCUGCACCAUCGCCUCAUUUAUGAGUUAUAACUUAUCAUUAUUAAUCCUUGGGGUUUCAUUAUUAUAUAGUAUAAGAUUAUAGCUUACAAGUAAUCUGAAUUUUAAAUCUCAUGUAGUUACAUACUUGACAAUUCUAAAGAUAAAGAGAUGCAACUAAAUUUGACAACAAUGAAGAAUUUGUUUUCUUUUAGUUAGUACUCCCUACCAAGGUUUUCAAGGCGUCGCCUAGGCGUCUAGGCGGGAAAAAAACCUGGGCGUCCGCGUCGCUUUUCCAUUCCUCGCCUUGCCGCCGUCCGCCCGGCGCUCUGCAGCUGCGCUCGCCGUCCGCCCGGCGCUCGCCGAGCCGCAGCCGCUGUCCGCCCGGCGCUCACCGAGUCGCAGCCGCCGCUCGCCGGCCUGCCGCUUGGCCGUGGUCGCGCCCACGCACGCCGAUGUGGCCGCCUGGCACCAGGCACCAGCGAGCUCAGCGCCUGAGCCGCGCCGUGCUCGGCCGCUCGCCGUCUGCCCGCGGAGGUGGAGAAGGCAGGGGUGGGCAGCGGCGGAGGUGGAGGAGGGCGGCGGCAGCGGGUGAGGAGGCAGAGGCGGGCUGGCGGCGGCGGUGCGGCUGGAGGAGUCGGGGAGGAGGAAGAGGUGGGGAUGGGAACCGGUAGAGGUUAGGGUUAGGAUAAGUAGUGGGGAGUUUGGGCUGCCUGUGUUGGGCUGAUUUAAUGGGCUUCUUUUCACCUUUAGGCCCACUAGUUCUCUCCUUUUUCUUUUCUUUUACAGGUGACUAUCUAAAUCUGCUAGGUUAAAGUCUAAUCAAGAAAGUAAUUAAGGCGUCGCCUCGCCUCUCGCCUUAACCGUCUAGGCGUCCGAGCGGUGGCCCACCGCCUCGCCUCGCCUUACCGCUUUAAAAACCUUGCUCCCUACAAAACAUGCUCUUUAAAUGACGAUUCUGAUCUUGUCAUUACAAUCUUGUGGGGGCGAAAAACAAUCACAACCAUGACUUCAUUUCACUUUUUAUUAUCUAAAAUACUUAGCAACCAAACUAUAAUACUUAUUGAUGAAAAUAGUGAUUGGCUCCAUAGGAAUGACUUGUAUAUGCUAAGCCAUUUACCAGGUAUUAUUGGUCAAGUUUUUUAGUUCUAUGCUGCUGCCAGCUAUAAUAUUUUUGAGACUUUUUGAUACAAUUAGUUUGGUUGUGCCCAGCUGCUCCUCCAAGGUAAUGGCAGAUACACCUCUUCAUUUUAGUAGUUUGGUUGUUCUUGAUUCAACGAUGUACUGCUAGAACCACAAAAGGAACAUUUGCAAUUGGUUGUCUUACAGUAUUGUAGACAGGGGACUUUAGCUCAAGUUUUAGUUGUGCAGAAGCUUUUUAUGUUAAGAUGUUCUACUAGCAGUGACUGUGUUCAUAUUUUCAUUCAAUUUCUGUAAAAACAAAGACUGAACAAAACCGGUUUACAAGUUCAGAGUUCAGAUCCAUCUUUGACCUUGCUGAUGUAUGUCACCAAUCUUACACUUCAGUGGUUCUGAAGUGAAGCAUCUGCUUUUUUUAUGGCCUUCACAGUUAAUUUUUGAAUAUCAUAUGAUAGUUAUUUUUCUUUUAACAUGUUAUCUGAAAUUAACAGGAGACAUGCUAGAAUGGCAUAAUCUUCGCUUGGUGUUUAGAGAACCUUGUAAUCUCAUCUUCAGGUAUAUUUUGCACACAAAAAUUUUGGGUUUACCUUCUCGAUUUGGUCUGAUGGAUGAUCAGGCUGCCAAGGCAUUCCGUCCCUUCUCCAUUUAAUAGGCCAAGGUGAGUCAUCUAGCAUUGCUCCUUUUAAAUGAUGAACCAUGCUGAAACAUCAGGCUGUUGGAGACUAACCUAACACUGAAAAUUUUUAUUGGUUGAGUUCAACAUUUGUCACAUUGCUAACACUUUCAGACUGCUAGACCACACUAUGUAAGUUUGGAGUACUCGAGGUUCUUGUGGUAUUCUCCAAAGUAGCGAUGUUGUUUCUGUUUCUUUUUCCAUAAUUUCUGAAUUUGCAAAGUUCUCAAGUGAAUUUACUUAUUGUAAGAAACCAGUGCUUCCAUAAUGUAUAAUUCAAUCUGUGUUCAAAUUUUUGUAAUGUUUGUUCAUAAAAUAUAAUCAUAACAUGUGGGCGUUUAUACGUACAUGAUAAAAUGAAAUUUUUAUUCUUUUA